UCCUACGGGAGGCAGCAGUGGGGAAUAUUGGACAAUGGGGGCAACCCUGAUCCAGCGACACCGCGUGAGCGAAGAAGACCUUUGGGGUGUAAAGCUCUGUCAACAGGAACGAAACAAAUGACGGUACCUGUGGAGGAAGCAUCGGCUAACUACGUGCCAGCAGCCGCGGUAAGACGUAGGAUGCAAGCGUUGUCCGGAUUUAUUGGGCGUAAAGAGUUCGUAGGCGGUUUGUUAAGUCUGAUGUUAAAGACCGGGGCUCAACCUCGGAAAUGCAUUGGAUACUGGCAGACUGGAGUGCAGUAGAGGCUAGUGGAAUUCCCAGUGUAGCGGUGAAAUGCGUAGAUAUUGGGAAGAACACCGGUGGCGUAGGCGACUAGCUGGGCUGUAACUGACGCUGAGGAACGAAAGCCAGGGGAGCGAAUGGGAUUAGAUACCCCGGUAGUCAUG
This 447-nucleotide ribosomal RNA is filed under the name uncultured bacterium. RNAcentral describes it as "bacterial SSU rRNA". It matches the Rfam family "Bacterial small subunit ribosomal RNA", at positions 337 to 798 of the family's 1533-position model. The record is from RNAcentral.